AGGGCACCACCAGGAGUGGAGCCUGCGGCUUAAUUUGACUCAACACGGGAAAACUUACCUGGCCCGGACACUGGAAGGAUUGACAGAUUGAGAGCUCUUUCUUGAUUCAGUGGGUGGUGGUGCAUGGCCGUUCUUAGUUGGUGGAGCGAUUUGUCUGGUUAAUUCCGAUAACGAACGAGACUCUAGCCUACUAAAUAGACUGGUCGACUUUAUAGGUGCGUAACCCUUCAUGUACUUCCGGGCUUGGACCGCUGCGGUGACGUUGGCAGUGCUUCUUAAAGGGGACGGGCGGCGGUUCCGCCGCCCCAAACAGAACAAAAACAGGUCUGUGAUGCCCUUUUAUGUCCAGGGCCGCACGCGAGCUACAAUGAAAGAUCACCGUGCCAUUAAUGGUUCCUACUCCGGCAAGAAUGCGUAACCCGUUAGGACUUCCUCGUGAGUGGGAGUCGGGAUUGUAAUUAUUCCCCUUGAACGAGGAAUUCCCAGUCCGCGCAAGGCUAAACUUGCGGUGAGUAUGAG
Molecule: ribosomal RNA, 519 nt
Filed under: uncultured eukaryote
Lineage: Eukaryota
Description: bacterial SSU rRNA
Rfam family: Eukaryotic small subunit ribosomal RNA
Source: RNAcentral